UACGUAGGGGGCGAGCGUUGUCCGGAUUUAUUGGGCGUAAAGAGCGUGUAGGCGGCCAUGUAGGUCUGCUGUGAAAACUCGAGGCUCAACCUCGAGACGUCGGCGGAAACCAUCUGGCUAGAGUCAGGAAGAGGAGAGUGGAAUUCCUGGUGUAGCGGUGAAAUGCGUAGAUAUCGGGAGGAACACCUGAGGCGAAGGCGGGCUACUGGGCCGAUACUGACGCUGAUGCGCGAAAGCCAGGGGAGCGAACGGG
This 253-nucleotide ribosomal RNA is filed under the name uncultured bacterium. Its description in RNAcentral is "partial 16S ribosomal RNA". It matches the Rfam family "Bacterial small subunit ribosomal RNA", at positions 524 to 776 of the family's 1533-position model. The record is from RNAcentral.